RNAcentral lists this ribosomal RNA (307 nucleotides) under uncultured eukaryote. Its description in RNAcentral is "partial 18S ribosomal RNA". It matches the Rfam family "Eukaryotic small subunit ribosomal RNA", at positions 1470 to 1796 of the family's 1831-position model. The record is from RNAcentral.
CCCUUAGACGUUCUGGGCCGCACGCGCGCUACACUGACGAAGGCAACGAGCUACUCUUCACCGAAAGGUGUGGGUAAUCUUUUGAAACUUCGUCGUGCUGGGGAUAGAUCCUUGCAAUUUUUGAUCUUAAACGAGGAAUUCCUAGUAAGCGCAAAUCAUCAACUUGCGUUGAUUACGUCCCUGCCCUUUGUACACACCGCCCGUCGCUACUACCGAUUGAAUGGUUUAGUGAGGCCUUCGGAUCCGCGAUUUUAUUGUGGAGAAGUUGGACAAACUCAGUCAUUUAGAGGAAGUAAAAGUCGUAACA